Molecule: long non-coding RNA, 1614 nt
Organism: Varanus komodoensis (Komodo dragon)
Lineage: Eukaryota; Metazoa; Chordata; Lepidosauria; Squamata; Varanidae
Exons: 3
Source: RefSeq, a predicted model, not a curated record
UGGGAGCUUUGAGUCUAUGCCUGGCUUGUUUCCUGCUGCAACCGUGACACAAAGCAGCUGCAACCCUGUUUUGAUCGGACAGUGAAGGCUGAUUUAUGUCUCUAAAGUGGCACAAAGCUGUCUUGGGAAAAUUGGCCAGGAGGACCAAGCAAGAUUUACAAUGAGGAAAAACAGCACAAGAACUACUGUUCUUGGCAAUGGGGAUUAAUUUGUCUUGGAUUAAUAUGAUGAAACCCCGACGUCAUUACCAAUAUUUCAGUGGGGUUUACUAUUUUGCUUCGGCUAAAGAAAUUAUACCCCAUUCAGCAAUUCUCCCAGCAAGUUAAGAAACAGGAUCUUCAUCCAGACUCGCGAAGCUGACAAGGUGGCAAGCAACCCCAGUGGAGACUGCUCCCUCCAAGCUCAGUAGGCUCAGCUUGCCACUUGCUGAGUCCCUGAGUGAGUGCACACGGCAGCUACCAGCUGGUGCCACAGGCCAUCCUCCCACCAGGAGCAUCAGAAGACAGGCCUGGCUACUGUAGGACACAGUUUAACAGCAAGUCAAUGAAAGGACAAACUUUAGCAUCCACAAGUGUGGAUACUUAUACAUUUGUUGGCCUGGGAGCAGGAAAAUCCUUCAAAUGUUCUUGUUGAUAACAACAAGAAAGCUGCUUUCAUUUGUGAAGGAGAGGGAGACCUGCUGAGAUAGAUAAAGAAUGCUGGAGUAAGUUCUCCUGGAUCUGUUUCAAGGCUUUACGAGCUUUCUUUGGACUCUCAGAUUCAAGGUCAGGAAAAGAACUGACUCCAGAACUGAGCAUCAGCACAUGGAUCCCCCCUGCCCUUUCACCAUCUGCUUUUCCGAAGCUGUAAGACUGACCUCAGGGAGGGGGUGCAAGGCCUUCCAGGGGAUGCAGAAUGGAGGAAUUUGGGACCAAUAGGAUAUGCAUGCCCUGAGGGAGCUCCAGCCCACCACGGGGAGGAGAGAGAGAUCACCCUUGCACUCCCCCACCCUGCAUGCUCUGAAUUUGGAAUCCUGGGGUAUCCCCUCUGGAUUGCAACUGCAGAAAUUUAAACAGUAAUAAAUACAGCUGGCUUAAUGAAGAUGAUACUGCCAAUAAAAAAUGGCAGUAUCAUCUGCAUCAAAUGGUGGUAUCAAUGGCAGUAUCAAAACACCUGUUUGAAUGCAAUCUAAACUUCCUGUCAGAAUUAGAAGUAUACUUAUAUAUACUAUUUAUUUAAAUAUAUGCAAUAUAAUUUAAAUAGUGUAGUGCACCAACUUUGGUUUUAACAGUAAAUUAAUGAGCAGAUAUUAUUUUUGCCUUAAGACAUGGUUCAAAAUGGGCGGCCUUUCAGUAGCUGCAAGCAUCACACUGAAGCAUGGAAAUGAUCCACUGCAUGUUCCUAAAGGUGAAAAAUGUUCUUUCUAUUAGCAGCAGUAAGUUUUAUUGCUAUAACCACAGGUCAGAAGAAAGCACAAUCCAGACAUACCUAUCAGUAAGGAAAUCUGCUCCUCAUCAAUUUUCUGACCUUGUGAGCUUGUGAGUACACAAUGAAGUUUAACCAAUGAAUUUCCUCAUACUUGUUUUUGUGAAAUAUGAAACAUAAAUAUCUUCAAUUACAGAAUCUUGAGGGAAA